RNAcentral lists this unclassified non-coding RNA (211 nucleotides) under soil metagenome. Its description in RNAcentral is "partial contains 5.8S ribosomal RNA, internal transcribed spacer 2, and large subunit ribosomal RNA". The record is from RNAcentral.
AACGAGGCCGACCUGCGGCUGAGUUACCUGCGGAAGGAUCAUUACCGAGUUUACAACUCCCAAACCCCUGUGAACAUACCAAUUGUUGCCUCGGCGGAUCAGCCCGCUCCCGGUAAAACGGGACGGCCCGCCAGAGGACCCCUAAACUCUGUUUCUAUAUGUAACUUCUGAGUAAAACCAUAAAUAAAUCAAAACUUUCAGCAACGGAUCU